AAAAAUUUAGUUAAAAUAUAACAUUAGCUUGUCAAGCUUAAAUUAUUUAAAAAUAAUUUUUA
RNAcentral lists this transfer RNA (62 nucleotides) under Scolytinae sp. BMNH 1274282. Its description in RNAcentral is "tRNA-Asp". Lineage: Eukaryota; Metazoa; Arthropoda; Insecta; Coleoptera; Curculionidae. The record is from RNAcentral.